AAUAGAUACCCCGGUAGUCCACGCCGUAAACGAUGAGUGCUAAGUGUUAGAGGGUUUCCGCCCUUUAGUGCUGCAGCUAACGCAUUAAGCACUCCGCCUGGGGAGUACGGUCGCAAGACUGAAACUCAAAGGAAUUGACGGGGGCCCGCACAAGCGGUGGAGCAUGUGGUUUAAUUCGAAGCAACGCGAAGAACCUUACCAGGUCUUGACAUCCUCUGACAACUCUAGAGAUAGAGCGUUCCCCUUCGGGGGACAGAGUGACAGGUGGUGCAUGGUUGUCGUCAGCUCGUGUCGUGAGAUGUUGGGUUAAGUCCCGCAACGAGCGCAACCCUUGAUCUUAGUUGCCAGCAUUUAGUUGGGCACUCUAAGGUGACUGCCGGUGACAAACCGGAGGAAGGUGGGGAUGACGUCAAAUCAUCAUGCCCCUUAUGACCUGGGCUACACACGUGCUACAAUGGAUGGUACAAAGGGCUGCAAGGCCGCGAGGUCAAGCCAUCCCAUAAAACCAUUCUCAGUUCGGAUUGUAGG
Molecule: ribosomal RNA, 528 nt
Filed under: uncultured bacterium
Lineage: Bacteria
Description: bacterial SSU rRNA
Rfam family: Bacterial small subunit ribosomal RNA
Source: RNAcentral